Small nuclear RNA from Zalophus californianus (California sea lion), 138 nucleotides. Its record names the gene U4. It matches the Rfam family "U4 spliceosomal RNA". From Rfam's summary of the family: U4 small nuclear RNA (U4 snRNA) is a component of the major U2-dependent spliceosome. The structure of U4 snRNA from yeast and human has been reported. U4 snRNA presents a k-turn RNA motif in the 5p-SL related to recognition of Snu13 protein. NCBI's taxonomy places the organism in Eukaryota, Metazoa, Chordata, Mammalia, Carnivora, Otariidae. The record is from Ensembl.
AGCUUUGCGCAGUGGCAGUAUCAUAGCCAGUGAGGUUUAUCUGUGGCGCAAUUAUUGCUAAUUGAAAAUUCAUUUACAGGGACGCCUAGGUGGCUCAAUUAAGCGUCUGCCUUUAACUCAGGUCACGAUCCUAGGGUC